GACAGAGGUGCCGAGCGUUAGGCGGAAUCACUGGGCUUAAAGCGUGUGUAGGCGGACUUCUAAGUACCUUGUGAAAUCCCACGGCUCAACCGUGGAACUGCUCGGUAUACUGGUUGUCUUGAGCCACUUAGGGGCAGUCGGAACAGACGGUGGAGCGGUGAAAUGCGUAGAUAUCGUCAGGAACGCCAAUGGUGAAGACAGGUAACUGGGCUAGUUCUGACACUGAGGCACGAAAGCGUGGGGAGCGAACGGG
RNAcentral lists this ribosomal RNA (253 nucleotides) under uncultured bacterium. Its description in RNAcentral is "partial 16S ribosomal RNA". It matches the Rfam family "Bacterial small subunit ribosomal RNA", at positions 524 to 776 of the family's 1533-position model. The record is from RNAcentral.